RNAcentral lists this unclassified non-coding RNA (384 nucleotides) under uncultured Phycisphaerae bacterium. RNAcentral describes it as "contains 16S-23S intergenic spacer region". The record is from RNAcentral. Lineage: Bacteria; Pseudomonadati; Planctomycetota; Phycisphaerae.
UCCGGUUUGACACCGGCAGUCUCGCUAAAGUGCCCACCGUUACGUGCUGGCAACUAGCGACAGGGGUUUCGCUCGUUAGGGGACUUAACCCGACAUCUCACGACACGAGCUGACGACAGCCAUGCAGCACCUGUGCAUGUUCCACGGCAAGCCGCGUCAUUCUGCUUUCACAGAACUAAUCCAUGCAUGUCAAACCCGGGUCAGGUUCUUCGCGUUGCUUCGAAUUAAGCCACAUGCUCCACCGCUUGUGUGAGCCCCCGUCAAUUCCUUUGAGUUUUAGCCUUGCGGCCGUACUUCCCAGGCGGCGCACUUAACAUUUUCGUUGCGACCCACGGGCCGUCAGAGGACCAUGAAUCUUGUGCGCAUCGUUUACGGCGUGGACUA